Molecule: long non-coding RNA, 2219 nt
Filed under: Nicotiana tabacum (common tobacco)
Lineage: Eukaryota; Viridiplantae; Streptophyta; Magnoliopsida; Solanales; Solanaceae
Description: long non-coding RNA (NTAB_LNC013169)
Source: RNAcentral
AAUAUAAUUGAAGAGAAGAUAAUUGAGGUGAAGCCGUCAAAGAGUAUAAAUCAUAAGGAUGUUGAUCAGGUGAGUUUUAAUUUCAGGAUUCUCAAGGAUUUUUUUUGGUAAUUAACAUUUUCAUUUCUCAACAAAUAUUACAUACUGCAAUCAAGCUUAAUCUGGAUAUACGCCCCAGAUUUUAGCUCCAUUCCCUGGCCUCAUUUACUACUAGGAUUCUCAAGUUAUUUCUUGCUUUAGUCGUUUUAAAGUUAAUUUUCUUUAAUUUUUUUAGGUCAUCUAAGGUUUUGUUUAUGUGAUUUCUCUUUUUUCUUCUUCUUUGGGUUAGCUAAUGCUUUUAAGGGCUCGUUUGGUACGAGGGAUAAGGAAUAAGGUAUCCUGGGACUAAAUUUAAGAAAAGUUUAUCUCAUGUUUGGUUGAUAGAAAACUGCGAUAUAAUUAAUACCGGGAUUAGUUAUCCCGGGAUUGUAGUAUUUUUUUAUCUCUGUGGGAGGGUAGAGUAACUAAUUCCGGGAUAACUUAUUUCCAGCCAAACGAUCCCUUAAACCUUAGGUGAUUCUUCCUAAAAGCUAAAACUAACGGCUUGUUUGGAUGGUUGUUAUCUAUUGUAUCGUAUUGCUAAAUCCAUUGUUAUGUAUGAUGAAAAGACACCUUUUAUGUAAUCGAUUUAGUGUGGUCGGGUCAUUACCUUUUUUUUUUCUCAUCUUAUGUACUUACUAUAAUUCUAUUUUACUUUUACCCACCUUUUUGAUAGUUACUGUACCCCGUACUCUAUUUUUUCUUUGUAAUAUUGUAAGUUUAUUCUUCAAAUUACUGGCAUGUGAUAUUAUAAAACAACGGAAGACGAUACAAUCUAUCCGAACAUUGUAUUUCAUUAAAGCAAUACAAUACAAUACGAUACAUUAAGAAACAACCAUCCAAACAAGCUGUAAAAGGUAACUGAGGAUUUUCAUUAAAUAAGCAUGUGGUAUGAAUAGAAUCUAGUUUGCUGCUAGUUCUUGCUUUCUUAUGAAUUCUCUUACUUCUCUUUCAAGAACGCUCCAAUGUUCAUUCAUACCGUGACUUUAAUGCCCAAGAUAUGGUUUUUCACUUUGUUUUGGCUGUUGAAACAUACUUAUCUUUCCUAGCUAGGCCAUGAAAAUCCACUUACCAGAGGAAAUAAUUGUGGACAUCCUCAGCAGGUUACCUGUGCUGUCUCUUCUUCGAUUCAAAUAAUUGUGGAUUUAUUUAUACGGAAAGUUUGAUCUCUCCAACAUUACUUACUUAGUAUUUGCUUCUUUCAUGCUCUCAGAGAGGCGACAUGACUUAUUUCUAUACUCUGAAAGAAGUAGUUGAACCCUCCCUCUCUCGCUACACAGGCUGAGGCACUUGCCUUUUACAAUCGCAACGCAACAGAGCCAAAAUAGCGCAGGCUGCUCGCCUUGCCUCACGCUAUUAGCGCUGAGGCGAGCGCUAUUUAUAACACUGCUUUUACCUAUUAUUGCUUCUCUAGUUAUAUAUACUAAUUGCUAUGAGUAAUGCACUAGUUAUUCUUCAGUUGUAGUUGAGUGAAAAAAAGGAUGAAUUAACUUGGUGAUUGAGAACACUAACUAGAAUUAGGUGAUGCUCAAUUUUCGAUACAAACUUUGCAGAUAAUCUAUAUUGCGCGGUCUCUCUAAAAAUGUUGCCACACCUGUGUCAAAUCCUCCAAAAAAUACACUACUUUUGGAGAAUCCGACGUGCACCCGACACUAUUUUUGCGGAGUCCGAGCAACAUAGCAGGUAAUGAUAGAUUUUCAUGAGUUGUUCUUUUUAAAAUUAGCCAGCUUAAACGUUGACAAGGAAGUAAAAGACUUUAAUAAGUUGAAAGAUGUUUGCAGUCUUGGCAUAAGGCAAACUUUUAUGAUAAGAGUUGAGCAGAAUUCAGAAUGUGAAGAUCAAUGUAGACUAUUACAUUUCUUCUCUUACAUUGCGUUUUUUUCUUCAUAGUUUUAUAUGGGGAUAAUACAUAAUUUCCCCCUUCUACUUGUCCAACUUUCUCAGUUGCACACUUAAACUUUGCGGGAAUUCUACCCCUUAUAGUUGUUUGAAGUGGUACAAAAGACCAUCUUUCUCUCGGCGCUCUCUCCCUUUUACAGCUUGUUUGAAUUGUUGGUAUAUGUUGUUACAUAAUGUAUUGUAGUGUACUAUACUGUAUUAUAUUGUUUAAUGAAUACAAUAUUUGGAUAGAUUGUAUUGUU